This 119-nucleotide ribosomal RNA is filed under the name Petromyzon marinus (sea lamprey). Lineage: Eukaryota; Metazoa; Chordata; Hyperoartia; Petromyzontiformes; Petromyzontidae. The record is from RNAcentral.
GCCUACGACCAUAUCACCCUGAAUGCGCCCGAUCUCGUCUGAUCUCAGAAGCUAAGCAGGGUCGAGCCUGGUUAGUACUUGGAUAGGAGACUGCCUGAGAAUACCAGGUGUUGUAGGCU